GGAGUGAGGAGGAGGGAGGGUCCUUCAUAGGUUCUAACAUGCAUAGAGGCACUGCUGUCAAAUUUCACUCAGAGUAGAAGCCCGAGCAUGUCACUCAAAUCACAGGGGAACUGUAUUGGCUGCUUGUCAAAGAGACACUAAGGAGAGUUCCGAACGAGCACAGGGUCCUGUUUUUUAGACCUUGGAAAACAGAGGUAUUCUAACUGCCAUCAAUAAAACUGUUUCACUCCAGCUCAGAUUUACCAUCCAUUUCUCCUUGCAUAGGAGGUUCUAGAACAGCUGAGCGCACACACUGAAGGAAGCUAGUUGUGUGAUGUGUAAGCAGCCUCUGGGCCAUCUAUGUGAUGGGGAAACCAAAGCCUCCAGCC
Long non-coding RNA from Mastomys coucha (southern multimammate mouse), 368 nucleotides. RefSeq lists it as uncharacterized. The record is from RefSeq and is a predicted model, not a curated record. NCBI's taxonomy places the organism in Eukaryota, Metazoa, Chordata, Mammalia, Rodentia, Muridae. The transcript is spliced from 3 exons.